This 306-nucleotide small RNA is filed under the name Arabidopsis thaliana (thale cress). RNAcentral's name for it is "ATSL218130". Lineage: Eukaryota; Viridiplantae; Streptophyta; Magnoliopsida; Brassicales; Brassicaceae. The record is from RNAcentral.
AUUAUUAAUAUGUUGUUUUAAUAGGGGUUACAACUUCAGUUUUUUAACAAUUGUCUCAUGGAUUCGUGGUAUAGCGUUACUUAAUAACAAUUAUAAGCUGUAAAAUAUAAAUAUUUUAUAAAAAUAAAAUUUGCAAAUUUUAAUAUAUAUUACUUUUAAAAAAUAAAUCGUCCCGCGGUAUACCGCGGGUUAAAAUCUAGUUUGUGUAAUAAACUAUAAGACAAAAUAAAAUAAAAAUGCUAAAAUGCCCUUUAUAUUGAGAGAUAAGAGAAAAAUUGAUGGGACCACUUUUCUUUAAAACAUUUU